RNAcentral lists this ribosomal RNA (492 nucleotides) under uncultured bacterium. RNAcentral's name for it is "partial 16S ribosomal RNA". It matches the Rfam family "Bacterial small subunit ribosomal RNA", at positions 29 to 507 of the family's 1533-position model. The record is from RNAcentral.
AGUGAACGCUGGCGGUAGGCCUAACACAUGCAAGUCGAACGGCAGCACAGUAAGAGCUUGCUCUUACGGGUGGCGGGUGGCGGACGGGUGAGGAAUACAUCGGAAUCUACUUUUUCGUGGGGGAUAACGUAGGGAAACUUACGCUAAUACCGCAUACGACCUACGGGUGAAAGCAGGGGAGCUUCGGACCUUGCGCGAUUGAAUGAGCCGAUGUCGGAUUAGCUAGUUGGCGGGGUAAAGGCCCACCAAGGCGACGAUCCGUAGCUGGUCUGAGAGGAUGAUCAGCCACACUGGAACUGAGACACGGUCCAGACUCCUACGGGAGGCAGCAGUGGGGAAUAUUGGACAAUGGGCGCAAGCCUGAUCCAGCCAUACCGCGUGGGUGAAGAAGGCCUUCGGGUUGUAAAGCCCUUUUGUUGGGAAAGAAAAGCAGCAGGUUAAUACCCCGCUGUUCUGACGGUACCCAAAGAAUAAGCACCGGCUAACUUCGUG